AGCGUGUGCGGCGAGAACGGUCACACCCGCACACGUGGGUGUCAGGGAAUCCGGUGCGAAUCCGGGACUGGCGCGCAGCGGUAUGGGGGACGGAACCGGCACACAGCCACUGGGGCGACCCGGGAAGGCGCCGGCUCCGGACGAACCCGAGUCCGAAUACCGGCCGCUCUCGCUCGAGUCCA
This 182-nucleotide non-coding RNA is filed under the name Gordonia terrae. The record is from RNAcentral. Lineage: Bacteria; Bacillati; Actinomycetota; Actinomycetes; Mycobacteriales; Gordoniaceae.